This 628-nucleotide long non-coding RNA is filed under the name Phoenix dactylifera (date palm). Its description in RNAcentral is "long non-coding RNA (PDAC_LNC007990)". The record is from RNAcentral. Lineage: Eukaryota; Viridiplantae; Streptophyta; Magnoliopsida; Arecales; Arecaceae.
UCUAAACGAGAGAGUGCUGGAACAGCUCAGCUCGGCAGAGCGAUAUGGUAUUGUCCGCUUUGGGAACCGUGGGCACUUUGGCUCGCACGGUGGCGGACCCACCUGCAGGCGCGUGGCUGCUGGACAGGUGUCCCUCACGGUUUUGUCCCCCGUAGGGGCGCCUCGUGAGGAAAGGUUUUAGGCCUCCUCAUUAUAAGGCACAGACCUUUCCGCUGAUUAGCCGAUGUGGGACUAAACUGGGAACCCCAUCCCACAACACAGCCCCCCCAGUGGGAAGGUCUGUGCGUGGCCGGGUCCCUUCCUCUAGCGCCAUCUGAUGUGGGGUCGGAACCCCGACACCAGCCCACACACCGGCCGAGCAGGAAAGCAUCUGCGUCCCUCCCGAGGUAUUGUCCGCUUUGGGAUUGCCACUUCGGGUCUGCGGGAGGUCGCCCAGGGAGGUCGCCCAAUGACAGUCCCAAUGACAGUCCCGAGCCCUGACGGCGCGGGGGUCCGCGGAGGUUGCCCCCUACCCUCACGGUUUUGUCCUAUAAAAGGCGCCUCGUGAGGAAAGGUUUUAGGCCUCCUCAUUAUAAGGCACAGACCUUUCCGCUGAUUAGCCGAUGUGGGACUAAACUGGGAACCCCAU